ACUCCUACGGGAGGCAGCAGUGGGGAAUAUUGCACAAUGGGCGCAAGCCUGAUGCAGCCAUGCCGCGUGUGAUGAAGAAGGCCCUUCGGGGUUGUAAAGUACUUUCAGCAGUGAGGGAAGGUGGGUAUGUUAAUAGCAUACCUCAUUUGACGUUAGCUGCAGAAGAAGCACCGGCUAACUCCGUGCCAGCAGCCGCGGUUAAUACGGAGGGUGCGAGCGUUAAUCGGAAUUACUGGGCGUAAAGCGCAUGCAGGUGGUUUGUUAAGUCAGAUGUGAAAGCCCGGGGCUCAACCUCGGAA
Molecule: ribosomal RNA, 299 nt
Filed under: uncultured bacterium
Lineage: Bacteria
Description: partial 16S ribosomal RNA
Rfam family: Bacterial small subunit ribosomal RNA
Source: RNAcentral